UUAUUCUUCAGCUCUCUUGGCUGAGCUGAAACACCGCUCUCUGUCUGACAGAAUGCACCUUGAGAGCCAUCAUCUCUACAUCCGGGCGCAGCAGAGACAACAUUUGGAGGGGGGGUCAUCACCACAGCCUCACUCAGAAGAAAAGAAGCUGCUGAAGGAGUUGGUUGUGAACUCACUACUACAGUUGGACCCGGCUGAGUAAAACUCAUGAGGGAAGUCAUCACUGCUGCUGGACUCAGAGUAGAAAAUGUUUGGAGGAACAUCAUCACUGCUGGAGGAGCUGGCUGUGAGAUGCAAAGGAAAUAAACAUGGAGAAUGUGAUGCAACUGAGAGAAGAACAAACCUACAAUUACAACAGACUCAAGCGUAUGGAGAACAUUAGAAACUGGACACAUAUACCACAUCCACAGCGGACAUCUUCAGUGAUUAUCAUCGCUUGUAUUUAUUUUCAGAGGAAA
Molecule: non-coding RNA, 458 nt
Organism: Danio rerio (zebrafish)
Lineage: Eukaryota; Metazoa; Chordata; Actinopteri; Cypriniformes; Danionidae
Source: RefSeq, a predicted model, not a curated record